AUCUAUGACUUGCAGAUAUGAGAAAAAAAGAUUAAAAGAUCCAACAGAUAUCAAAAAGAUAAACCAAGAAGAUCUUUUACAUCAAGCCCAAGUCCACUUCAGGAGCUAUAAAUAGAGAGUCAGGCCGAGGGGAAAGACACACUAGUCUCAUAGCACUCUCAUUACUACUUAAAGCCAAAGAACUCUUCCCCUCUUUUUUGUUAUUAUAUUUAUCAAUGGCCAUGAGUGGCUAAACCCCUAGUUAGGGUCUUGUAGACCUAAAAAGCAAGCGAUGUAUCAUGUACUUCUCAUAUUUAUCAAUGCAAAAGAAGUCAUUUCCAAGUUUUUCUA
This 330-nucleotide long non-coding RNA is filed under the name Glycine max (soybean). RNAcentral's name for it is "long non-coding RNA (GMAX_LNC002255)". The record is from RNAcentral. Lineage: Eukaryota; Viridiplantae; Streptophyta; Magnoliopsida; Fabales; Fabaceae.